This 497-nucleotide ribosomal RNA is filed under the name Subeucalanus crassus. RNAcentral's name for it is "eukaryotic LSU rRNA". The stretch from base 287 to 497 matches the Rfam family "Eukaryotic large subunit ribosomal RNA", at positions 1 to 203 of the family's 3401-position model. The record is from RNAcentral. Lineage: Eukaryota; Metazoa; Arthropoda; Copepoda; Calanoida; Eucalanidae.
GCCGUGUGAACUGCAGGACACAUGAACAUCGACACUUUGAAUGCAUAUUGCGGAAUUGAGCUCGUCUCAGUUCCAUACCUGGCUCAGGGUCGGUUUUACAUCCAUCGGACAGUUUUCUGUCUGCUCAGGGCUGUCGUUUUGCCUCUGGCAGUGCGCAGCUUUAUGUUUUGUCGUGUGAAUUUCACAGACUCGACUCUUGGGAGAGAUCCUGGGUUGUUGUCACACUGGUCACAUUACACCGUGCAGGACUUUUAGUUGUCCGUUGAAGCACCACUCAUUUUUCUCUCGACCUGAGAUUAGGUAAGACUACCCGCCGAAUUUAAGCAUAUUAAUAAGCGGAGGAAAAGAAAACAACUGUGAUUCCCUUAGUAAUGGCGAAUGAAACGGGAUUAGCCCAUCGCGGAACUGCAGGUCACCUUGGCCUUGCGGAAUGUCGCGUUCGGGAGAGUCUGAUCGAGAUCUGGACGGCCAGUCAAAGUCCAACUUGACUGUGGCCA